GACGAACGCUGGCGGCGUGCUUAACACAUGCAAGUCGAACGGAAAGGCCCUGCUUUUGUGGGGUGCUCGAGUGGCGAACGGGUGAGUAACACGUGAGUAACCUGCCCUUGACUUUGGGAUAACUUCAGGAAACUGGGGCUAAUACCGGAUAGGAGCUCCUGCUGCAUGGUGGGGGUUGGAAAGUUUCGGCGGUUGGGGAUGGACUCGCGGCUUAUCAGCUUGUUGGUGGGGUAGUGGCUUACCAAGGCUUUGACGGGUAGCCGGCCUGAGAGGGUGACCGGCCACAUUGGGACUGAGAUACGGCCCAGACUCCUACGGGAGGCAGCAGUGUGGAAUAUUGCACAAUGGGCGGAAGCCUGAUGCAGCAACGCCGCGUGCGGGAUGACGGCCUUCGGGUUGGAAACCGCUUUCGCCUGUGACGAAGCGUGAGUGACGGUAAUGGGUAAAGAAGCACCGGCUAACUAUGUG
This 468-nucleotide ribosomal RNA is filed under the name uncultured bacterium. RNAcentral's name for it is "partial 16S ribosomal RNA". It matches the Rfam family "Bacterial small subunit ribosomal RNA", at positions 28 to 507 of the family's 1533-position model. The record is from RNAcentral.